UGGCCAGACUCCUACGGGAGGCAGCAGUGGGGAAUAUUGCACAAUGGGGGAAACCCUGAUGCAGCAACGCCGCGUGAGUGAAGAAGUAUUUCGGUCUGUAAAGCUCUAUCAGCAGGGAAGAAAAUGACGGUACCUGAGUAAGAAGCCCCGGCUAACUACGUGCCAGCAGCCGCGGUAAUACGUAGGGGGCAAGCGUUAUCCGGAUUCACUGGGUGUAAAGGGAGCGUAGACGGCGACGCAAGUCUGGAGUGAAAGCCCGGGGCCCAACCCCGGGACUGCUCUGGAAACUGCGUCGCUGGAGUACGGGAGGGGCAGGCGGAAUUCCUGGUGUAGCGGUGAAAUGCGUAGAUAUCAGGAGGAACACCGGCGGCGAAGGCGGCCUGCUGGACCGUGACUGACGUUGGGGCUCGAGAGCGUGGGGAGCAAACAGGAUUAGAUACCCCAGUA
This 447-nucleotide ribosomal RNA is filed under the name uncultured bacterium. Its description in RNAcentral is "bacterial SSU rRNA". It matches the Rfam family "Bacterial small subunit ribosomal RNA", at positions 328 to 792 of the family's 1533-position model. The record is from RNAcentral.